Molecule: ribosomal RNA, 253 nt
Filed under: uncultured bacterium
Lineage: Bacteria
Description: partial 16S ribosomal RNA
Rfam family: Bacterial small subunit ribosomal RNA
Source: RNAcentral
UACGAGGGGGGCAAGCGUUAUUCGGAUUUACUGGGCUUAAAGAGUUCGUAGGCGGCGCAGACAGUAGGGUGUGAAAGCCCUCGGCUCAACCGAGGAAUUGCGCCCUAAACUACUGUGCUUGAGGAAGCUAGAGGUGAGCAGAACAGAUGGUGGAGCGGUGAAAUGCGUUGAUAUCAUCUGGAAUACCGGAGGCGAAGGCGGCUCACUGGGGCUUUUCUGACGCUGAGGAACGAAAGCCAGGGUAGCGAACGGG